This 332-nucleotide long non-coding RNA is filed under the name Coffea arabica (coffee). Its description in RNAcentral is "long non-coding RNA (CARA_LNC001232)". Lineage: Eukaryota; Viridiplantae; Streptophyta; Magnoliopsida; Gentianales; Rubiaceae. The record is from RNAcentral.
UCAAAAACAAGAAAAAGGGAUAUACAUGAUACCUCUAUCUAGCUCUGAUUACCAACUGAUGUGAGUGCGGUAGCUAUUUUAGGAUCUUAGAGGACACGUUGCAAGAUGAAUGGAGUCGAACCCAAACUUGGACCACUCAAGAACGGAUUCAACGGUAGAGGACGCCACAAUCAAGUGUGUUUGCUUGAUUGAUAAGUCAACCAACAACCUAGGAUCAACUCUAGGAUGUUCAAACUGGCUUUCACAAGCUAAAGAAAUUUGCCACAACCAAUGGAUGAAAUUCUAGAAUUUUUAUUGAAUAAUAUCGAAAAAACUUCAAUGUAACAUCAACU